UACAGAGGGUGCGAGCGUUGUUCGGAAUUAUUGGGCGUAAAGCGCAUGUAGGCGGCUUGUUAAGUCACGUGUGAAAGCCCCAGGCUCAACCUGGGAAGUGCGCGUGAAGCUGGCGAGCUUGAAUCCUGGAGAGGGUGGCGGAAUUCCCGGUGUAGAGGUGAAAUUCGUAGAUAUCAGGAGGAACACCAACGGCGAAGGCAGCUCGCUGGGACGGUACUGACGCUGAGGCGCGAAAGCGUGGGGAGCGAACAGG
This 253-nucleotide ribosomal RNA is filed under the name uncultured bacterium. RNAcentral's name for it is "partial 16S ribosomal RNA". It matches the Rfam family "Bacterial small subunit ribosomal RNA", at positions 524 to 776 of the family's 1533-position model. The record is from RNAcentral.